CCUACGGGAGGCAGCAGUGGGGAAUAUUGCACAAUGGGGGAAACCCUGAUGCAGCGACGCCGCGUGAAGGAUGAAGUUUUUCGGUUUGUAAACUCCUAUCAGCAGGGAAGAAAAUGACGGUAUCUGACUAAUAAGCCCCGGCUAACUACGUGCCAGCAGCCGCGGUAAUACGGAGGGUGCAAGCGUUACCCGGAUUUACUGGGCGUAAAGGGAGCGUAGGCGGGAUUGCAAGUCAGAAGUGAAAGCCCAUGGCUUAACCAUGGUACUGCUUUGGAAACUGUUGUGCUUGAGUGCGGGAGGGGUAGGCGGAAUUCUUGGUGUAGCGGUAAAAUGCGUAGAGAUUAGGAGGAAGACCGGCGGCGAAGGCGACCUGCUAGAACGUAACUGACGCUGAGGCUCGAAAGCGUGGGGAGCAAACAGGAUUAGAUACCCUUGUAGUC
This 440-nucleotide ribosomal RNA is filed under the name uncultured bacterium. Its description in RNAcentral is "partial 16S ribosomal RNA". It matches the Rfam family "Bacterial small subunit ribosomal RNA", at positions 338 to 795 of the family's 1533-position model. The record is from RNAcentral.